RNAcentral lists this ribosomal RNA (497 nucleotides) under uncultured bacterium. Its description in RNAcentral is "partial 16S ribosomal RNA". It matches the Rfam family "Bacterial small subunit ribosomal RNA", at positions 28 to 507 of the family's 1533-position model. The record is from RNAcentral.
GAUGAACGCUGGCGGCGUGCCUAAUACAUGCAAGUCGAGCGAACAGACGAGGAGCUUGCUCCUUCGACGUUAGCGGCGGACGGGUGAGUAACACGUAGGUAACCUACCUAUAAGACUGGGAUAACUUCGGGAAACCGGAGCUAAUACCGGAUAAUAUUUCGAACCGCAUGGUUCGAUAGUGAAAGAUGGCUUUGCUAUCACUUAUAGAUGGACCUGCGCCGUAUUAGCUAGUUGGUAAGGUAACGGCUUACCAAGGCAACGAGACGUAGCCGACCUGAGAGGGUGGUCGGCCGCACUGGAACUGAGACACGGUCCAGACUCCUACGGGAGGCAGCAGUAGGGAAUCUUCCGCAAUGGGCGAAAGCCUGACGGAGCAACGCCGCGUGAGUGAUGAAGGUCUUCGGAUCGUAAAACUCUGUUAUUGGGGAAGAACAAACGUGUAAGUAACUGUGCACGUCUUGACGGUACCUAAUCAGAAAGCCACGGCUAACUACGUG